GAUGAACGCUGGCGGCGUGCCUAAUACAUGCGAGUCGAGCGAACGGACGAGAAGCUUGCUUCUCUGAUGUUAGCGGCGGACGGGUGAGUAACACGUGGAUAACCUACCUAUAAGACUGGGAUAACUUCGGGGAACCGUAGCUAAUACCGGAUAAUAUUUUGAACCGCAUGGUUCAAAAGUGAAAGACGGUCUUGCUGUCACUUAUAGAUGGAUCCGCGCUGCAUUAGCUAGUUGGUAAGGUAACGGCUUACCAAGGCAACGAUGCAUAGCCGACCUGAGAGGGUGAUCGGCCACACUGGAACUGAGACACGGUCCAGACUCCUACGGGAGGCAGCAGUAGGGAAUCUUCCGCAAUGGGCGAAAGCCUGACGGAGCAACGCCGCGUGAGUGAUGAAGGUCUUCGGAUCGUAAAACUCUGUUAUUAGGGAAGAACAUAUGUGUAAGUAACUGUGCACAUCUUGACGGUACCUAAUCAGAAAGCCACGGCUAACUACGUG
RNAcentral lists this ribosomal RNA (497 nucleotides) under uncultured bacterium. RNAcentral's name for it is "partial 16S ribosomal RNA". It matches the Rfam family "Bacterial small subunit ribosomal RNA", at positions 28 to 507 of the family's 1533-position model. The record is from RNAcentral.